Molecule: long non-coding RNA, 396 nt
Organism: Sorex araneus (European shrew)
Lineage: Eukaryota; Metazoa; Chordata; Mammalia; Eulipotyphla; Soricidae
Exons: 3
Source: RefSeq, a predicted model, not a curated record
GCCCUACCCGUGGGAGUAAUAAAACACAAGGUGGAGCGUGGUGGCCGGGCCCGCCGCCCUGCGUCCUGCUGUCCUCCGCUUUGACUUUUUCCUGCCCUGACAGGACCCUCUCAGGCUCCCGCUGUGGUUGGCCGAGUAAGCUCAGGUCACACCCAGCAAUGCUCAGGGGUUACUCCUGGCUCUGCACUCAGGAAUUACUCCUGGCGGUGCUCAGGGGAACAUAUGGGAUGACGGGGAUCGAACCCAGGUCGGCCGCAUGCAAGGCAAACGCCCUCCCUGCUGUGCUAUCGCUCCAGCCCCACCAGCCACCUUUAGACAUCGGAUCCAGUUGCGUGGAGUGGGGUGGUCCUGGCUGGGGCGGCACAGAGCAUCGCGCGAGAAACCGGGAGAGGCCAG